This 412-nucleotide ribosomal RNA is filed under the name uncultured Allobrachymonas sp. RNAcentral describes it as "bacterial SSU rRNA". It matches the Rfam family "Bacterial small subunit ribosomal RNA", at positions 962 to 1382 of the family's 1533-position model. The record is from RNAcentral. Lineage: Bacteria; Pseudomonadati; Pseudomonadota; Betaproteobacteria; Burkholderiales; Comamonadaceae.
CGAAAAACCUUACCCACCUUUGACAUGGCAGGAAUCCCGAAGAGAUUGGAGUGCUCGAAAGAGAACCUGCACACAGGUGCUGCAUGGCUGUCGUCAGCUCGUGUCGUGAGAUGUUGGGUUAAGUCCCGCAACGAGCGCAACCCUUGCCAUUAGUUGCUACGAAAGGGCACUCUAAUGGGACUGCCGGUGACAAACCGGAGGAAGUGGGGAUGACGUCAAGUCCUCAUGGCCCUUAUAGGUGGGGCUACACACGUCAUACAAUGGCCGGUACAGAGGGUAGCCAACCCGCGAGGGGAGCCAAUCCCACAAAGCCGGUCGUAGUCCGGAUCGCAGUCUGCAACUCGACUGCGUGAAGUCGGAAUCGCUAGUAAUCGCGGAUCAGCAUGUCGCGGUGAAUACGUUCCCGGGUCUU